AUGCCGACGACAAGCCUCCAGUUCCCCUCCUCGUGCUCGGCUCCCCUCCUCGGGCCGGCGGCACGCAGGAGCUCCUCCUCCUCGCUCCUCCCUCCGCCGACGCCCCUCGCAGAUCUGAGGCCGAGCUCGGCGGCCGCCGCGAGGGAGGGGCAGAGGGCCGGCGCGAGCUGGAGCAGAGCUCCGCCGCGGCCGGCGAGGGCCACCUAUCCGCCGCGAGGGAGGAGCAGGGGAGAGGAGCUGGAGCCGGAUCCGCGACGCUCCGCCCUCCCCACCCGCGGCCGCGCGCACCGGCUCAAGGAGGCGGCGGAUGGGAGGCCUCGGCCAUGGCAGAAUGCACAAGAGAGAAACAGUGGAGGUUGGGUGACCGUGGGGGAAAGGAAGAAUCACAGAAGAUCACAUCAGCACUCUGAAGAAUGGAAGGGGUAUAAAAGACUACCAUCUGAACAAGAAUACUCUGAGGAUGUCAGUCAUAUCCACCAUGGCCUAAAUGUUGAGCCUACCAGGGAAGAACUCGACAAUCUAUCAAAAGCGUGCUCCCGGCUAUGGGAACUUGAUCUAAACCGCCUCACUCCUGGCAAGGACUACACAAUAGAGUGUGGUGAAGGGAAGAAGGUAUAUCAUAAGGGUGAUAAGGCAUCUGAAAAUCUGUUCAGCUAGCUGGAACACAGUAUACUGAGGAGGCCUACAUACUCCCGUUUCUGUGCACUCCUUGACAACUACAACCCCCACCAAGGAUACAAAGAAUCAGUCACCCAGCAGGACAAGCAUGAAGAAGCUGCUUUUAUCGAGGAGAUAUCUAGGAGUGCUCCCAUCAAGUACUUGCACCGGUAUUUGGUGAUGAAGGAAUCUAUGUCUCAGGACUAUGAGGACUUAAAGAAAGUGAUGACAUCCCUGUGGUUUGAUUUGUGUGGAAGAGGGGGCUGCUCUAGUAGCUCUUCUGCCUUUGAACAUGUGUUUGUUGGAGAGAUCAAGGGGCAGAAGCAUGGUGAGGAUGAAGUGUCAGGCUUUCACAACUGGAUUCAGUUUUACCUUGAAGAAUCCAAUGGUAAUGUUGACUACCAAGGGUACAUAUUCCCAAGGAGGCGUGGGGAGCUGCCAGACUCUGAAACACAGCUGCUCACCAUUCAAUUUGAGUGGCAUGGUGUGUUAAAAUCUGUUUCCAGCACAUUGAUUGGUGUCAGUCCCGAGUUUGAAAUUGCACUCUACACUCUCUGCUUCUUUGCUAGAGGGGAAGAUAAUCAUGUAGAUAUUGGCCCAUAUUCGGUGAAUAUCAAGUGCUACAGGUUGGGGGAUAACAAGAUUGGUUCAGCUUUCCCAAUUGCAGAAAACUGAUUCUGGUGGCCAUGUACGGAAAGGUCAGUUAGGUUUCAGUCUGUUUCUAUCAGCAAAAAUAAAUUGUAUUGCUCAAGAACUUGUGGCUUUAUUGUAAUAUGUAUUGUAUGAUGUAACUCUUGAUCAAGAUAUACCUAUAUAAGUUAAAAUAGUUGUUUUCCUCACAUGUGGAAAUCGAAGAAAUCA
This is an RNA transcript of Panicum virgatum (switchgrass), 1518 nucleotides long. It is a transcript of the gene named poly(U)-specific endoribonuclease-B-like, with no coding region annotated. The transcript has 5 exons. The record is from RefSeq and is a predicted model, not a curated record. NCBI's taxonomy places the organism in Eukaryota, Viridiplantae, Streptophyta, Magnoliopsida, Poales, Poaceae.